CCUACGGGUGGCAGCAGUGAGGAAUAUUGGUCAAUGGCCGGAAGGCUGAACCAGCCAAGCCGCGUGAAGGACGAAGGUGCCAAGCAUUGUAAACUUCUUUUGUCAAGGGACAAAAUCAGGCGCGAGAGCCUGACCGAGGGGACUUGAAUAAAAAGCAUCGACAAACUCCGUUCCAGCAGCCGCGGUAAUACUGGGGAUGCGAGCGUUAUCCGGAUUUAUUGGGUGAAAGGGGUGCGUAGGCGGACUGUUAAGUCAGCGGUAAAAGCCCGGGGCUCAACCCCGGCGAGCCGUUGAAACUGGCUGUCUUGAGAUGUCGAGAGGUAUGCGGAAUGCGCAGUGUAGCGGUGAAAUGCUUAGAUAUUGCGCAGAACUCCGAUUGCGAAGGCAGCAUACCGGAGGCGAUCUGACGCUGAGGCACGAAAGCGUGGGUAUCGAACAGGAUUAGAUACCCUUGUAGUC
RNAcentral lists this ribosomal RNA (459 nucleotides) under uncultured bacterium. RNAcentral describes it as "partial 16S ribosomal RNA". It matches the Rfam family "Bacterial small subunit ribosomal RNA", at positions 338 to 795 of the family's 1533-position model. The record is from RNAcentral.